AAACAGAAGGCAGAGCUGCGAAUCAAAUCCAGGUUUCACCAGAAUUAUGGAACAUUUAUCAACAGCCUAAAAUAAAGACAACACGAGGAGAAUUUGGUUGCUUAUAUAGAUUCAAGGUACAAUCCUGCUGGAUUCUGGGAUUACAGGACUGUAGACAAAAGAGAAAUCAUCAUGGACUGUUCACUGGACAAAAUUUCAUGGAGAGGAGAAGACCUUUGGCGGUUCAUGGAUGUUCUAUAAUAAGUUAGGUAACUAACAGGCUAACUUUCUUGAGCACCUACACUGUGUAGGGCACUGUACUGGUACUUCUCAUACCUUCUCUCAUUCAUAUAAUCCUCUGAGGUAGGUGUUAUCCUCUCUACAGCAGGGAAAAUCAAUACCCAGAGAAGGGGAGAGACGUCCAUGGCACACAGGAGAGGACAGAGCCAAGAAUGAAUAUAGGACACCAGUGCCCCAACUCUUAACCACUACCAUACACGGUUUUAUAAAGUAAAUUUUAAAAGUCGACUUUAAAACAUGUAUGCAACAUUGUGUCCAGUCUCCCAAAACAAAAGAACAAUGAGCGUUCCCUUUUCCCUUGAUGUGUGGGCAGGUCUGUAGAGUAGUACAAGAAGAGAUUAUGUUCUGCAUUCUCACUUCAACAAGAAAGUCCUGGUCCACCAAUAAUACCUUUAAGCUUCAGGAUAAUUGUGAAAAGGCCAACUAGUUAAUCAAACAUUUUCCCAAACUUAAGAAAAACACCAAGAAGGAAUAUAAGUACAGGGGACAUUAGAGGAUAAGCUCAUAAGGGCUGGACUAAAU
Molecule: long non-coding RNA, 801 nt
Filed under: Homo sapiens (human)
Lineage: Eukaryota; Metazoa; Chordata; Mammalia; Primates; Hominidae
Description: non-protein coding LINC01359:6
Source: RNAcentral